GCUUACACAUGCAAGUUCGAACGCUGAAGCCAGAAACUCGCUUUCUGGUGGAUGAGUGGCGAACGGGUGAGUAACACGUGAGUAACCUGCCCCCGAUUUCGGGAUAAGCCCGGGAAACCGGGUCUAAUACCGGAUACGACCUGCCCUCGCAUGAGGGUUUGGUGGAAAGUUUUUCGAUCGGGGAUGGGCUCGCGGCCUAUCAGCUUGUUGGUGGGGUAAUGGCCUACCAAGGCGACGACGGGUAGCCGGCCUGAGAGGGCGAUCGGCCACACUGGGACUGAGACACGGCCCAGACUCCUACGGGAGGCAGCAGUGGGGAAUAUUGCACAAUGGGGGAAACCCUGAUGCAGCGACGCAGCGUGCGGGAUGACGGCCUUCGGGUUGUAAACCGCUUUCAGCAGGGAAGAAGCCGUAAGGUGACGGUACCUGCAGAAGAAGUACCGGCUAACUACGUGCCAGCAGCCGCGGUAAUACGUAGGGUACGAGCGUUGUCCGGAAUUAUUGGGCGUAAAGAGCUCGUAGGUGGUUGGUCACGUCUGCUGUGGAAACGCAACGCUUAACGUUGCGCGUGCAGUGGGUACGGGCUGACUAGAGUGCAGUAGGGGAGUCUGGAAUUCCUGGUGUAGCGGUGAAAUGCGCAGAUAUCAGGAAGAACCACGGUUGCGAAAGCAGGGACUCUGGCUGUACUGACACUG
This 695-nucleotide ribosomal RNA is filed under the name Brevibacterium sp. HQ-1-45. Its description in RNAcentral is "bacterial SSU rRNA". It matches the Rfam family "Bacterial small subunit ribosomal RNA", at positions 46 to 748 of the family's 1533-position model. Lineage: Bacteria; Bacillati; Actinomycetota; Actinomycetes; Micrococcales; Brevibacteriaceae. The record is from RNAcentral.